CACUAAGAAGCUACAAGGAAGCAUUAGCCUUUUAAGCUAAAUAUUGGUGCCUACCACCCACCCUUAGUGA
RNAcentral lists this transfer RNA (70 nucleotides) under Herpele squalostoma. Its description in RNAcentral is "tRNA-Lys". Lineage: Eukaryota; Metazoa; Chordata; Amphibia; Gymnophiona; Herpelidae. The record is from RNAcentral.